Non-coding RNA from Benincasa hispida (wax gourd), 1268 nucleotides. The record is from RefSeq and is a predicted model, not a curated record. Lineage: Eukaryota; Viridiplantae; Streptophyta; Magnoliopsida; Cucurbitales; Cucurbitaceae.
UCGCACGCCACCUCCAUUUUACCCUUUCACCUUAUCGCUUUUUACCCUAUCGCGCACUGCCUCCAUUUUUCUCUUACCCAAACCCUAACCGAUCUCCUUCACCGUCCGUCGUUCUCCUUCACCGUUCGUCCAUCCAUCGAUCUCCUUCACCGUCCGUCCAUCCAUCGAUUUCCUUUAUCGUCUAUUUGUCCGUCGAUCUCCAUCGAUCUUCAUCGCGUUUACAUCCAUCAAGUUUUUUGUCGGUCUCCGUCGAUCUCCAUCGCGUCAGUGUUCAGAUCUGUAGCUAUGGGUACAAAUCUGCUAGUGGGUCAUAGGUCGUCGAUCGUCUUUGCCAAUGCUUAAAUCUCUUAACCUUGAACUUGAUGUUGAUGCACCUUUCUUUAUGCAGCUAAAAGAUGGCCAAAAAUCAAUUGAAGUAAAGUAUGCUUUGGGUAAAUACAAUAGGUUUGCAAAUAUUGAAAUCUUUGAACAGACAAGAGGAAGAAAUGGCUGACAGUGUUAUUGCUAUAUGUAUUUCAAGUGUGCCAUUUCAGCCUUACAUUUCUUUAGCUGCAAUAAUCUCAGGGUUGAGUUAUGAAGGUCUUCAAGGUCUUCUCGGCUUGACACAUACUGCAGGAACGGUUCCUGAUGUUCUUCCCCCACCAAGAUUAACUCUUUUAUCUUCAUUUGUGCUUCCAUAUAAACCCGAGUUCAUUGGGAUUUUGGAGCCAUACAUGCAAGAUGGCCAUUUGAAAGGAUGGAAGCAGUAAUCUUUUAUUGAGAUGAUUCUCUAGGAAGAUCAAAAGAUGGCUACAUGGUUGACGAAUACAAUGUCCAACUCGCUGAAAGGGAGGCCUGUUUAGGUACCAUAAAUAUAAAAUAUACAUUAGUUUCUAUCUUUGGGAAUUUCCUUACUGCUUUUUUCUUUUGGCAGAGUCGUAUAUUUCAAGGCAAAGAGCCACCCCAAUUUAUUGCCCUCUUUCAACCUUUCGUGGGGUGCUCAAGGUGGUAGUCUUAUAAAGUUUCUUUCUUAACUCAUCUCUUUUGGUUAGAAUCACGUUGUAGUUUCUUUUACAAGAUUCUGAUGUGGAGCUGAGAGGGUCUUGAGAGACACAGAUAACCAUCAUUUUUCUUAAUGAAUUCUGGUGUAGGGUGGCUUGAGCUCUAGUUACAAGAAACUCAUAGCAGAUAAAGCUUUGGCUAAUAAAACUUAUACGGAAGAUUUUGUUGCCCUUGUAAAAUCAUAAUCUUUGUAUUAUUUGUAAUUUGUAUUUUCAAGGCUUGAAUUA